Molecule: ribosomal RNA, 253 nt
Filed under: uncultured bacterium
Lineage: Bacteria
Description: partial 16S ribosomal RNA
Rfam family: Bacterial small subunit ribosomal RNA
Source: RNAcentral
UACGUAGGGCGCAAGCGUUAUCCGGAAUUAUUGGGCGUAAAGAGCUCGUAGGCGGUUUGUCGCGUCUGCUGUGAAAGACCGGGGCUCAACUCCGGUUCUGCAGUGGGUACGGGCAGACUAGAGUGCAGUAGGGGAGACUGGAAUUCCUGGUGUAGCGGUGAAAUGCGCAGAUAUCAGGAGGAACACCGGUGGCGAAGGCGGGUCUCUGGGCAACAACUGACGCUGAGGAGCGAAAGCGUGGGGAGCGAACAGG